AGUCAAUAGAUACCCAGGUAGUCCAUGCCGUAAACGAUGAUUGCUAGGUGUGGGGGGUCUGACCCCUUCCGUGCCGGAGUUAAACACAAUAAGCAAUCCACCUGGGGAGUACGGCCGCAAGGUUGAAACUCAAAGGAAUUGACGGGGGCCCGCACAAGCAGUGGAGUAUGUGGUUUAAAUUCGAAGCAACGCGAAGAACCUUACCAGGUCUUGACAUCCACCGAAUCCUGUAGAGAUACGGGAGUGCCCUUCGGGGAACGGUGAGACAGGUGGUGCAUGGUUGUCGUCAGCUCGUGUCGUGAGAUGUUGGGUUAAGUCCCGCAACGAGCGCAACCCUUGUGAAUAGUUGCUACGAAAGAGCACUCUAUUCAGACCGCCGUUGACAAAACGGAGGAAGGUGGGGACGACGUCAAAUCAUCAUGCCCCUUAUGACCUGGGCUACACACGUACUACAAUGGCCGUUAACAGAGGGAUGCAAUGCCGCGAGGUGGAGCGAACCCCUAAAAACGGUCUCAGUUCAGAUUGCAGGCUGAAACUCG
RNAcentral lists this ribosomal RNA (539 nucleotides) under uncultured bacterium. RNAcentral describes it as "bacterial SSU rRNA". It matches the Rfam family "Bacterial small subunit ribosomal RNA", at positions 775 to 1314 of the family's 1533-position model. The record is from RNAcentral.